RNAcentral lists this long non-coding RNA (732 nucleotides) under Cricetulus griseus (Chinese hamster). RNAcentral's name for it is "lncRNA (ENSCGRG00000025244.1)". The record is from RNAcentral. Lineage: Eukaryota; Metazoa; Chordata; Mammalia; Rodentia; Cricetidae.
AAUAUGGGUGAAGAUACUUUUUUUUUGUCUUUUUUUUCUUUUACAGUUUUUUUUUUUUUGAUGGGUGCAGUGAACUUUAUUGAUGGUAUUCAAGAGAGUAGGGCUCCCUAAGCCCCUCCUUAUUCUGGGGGUCUGGGAUGGAAACUGUGAGGGAGAUGAUCUGUGUGGGGGUUAUUGGACAGGGAUUGCUCAGCAGCCAGGGCCUCUCUCUUGCUCGAGUCCUUGCUGGGGGUGGAUGGUCCAGGGUGGGCUUCUUACUCUUUGGAGGCCAUGUAGGCUAUGAGGUCCACCACCCUGUUGCUGUAGCCGAAUUCAUUGUCAUACCAGGAAAUGAGCUUUACAAAGUUGCCAUUGAGAGCAAUGCCAGCCCCAGCAUCAAAGGUGGAAGAGUGGGAGUCACAGUUGAAGUCGCAGGAGACAACCUGGUCCUCGGUGUAGCCCAGGAUGCCCUUCAGUGGGCCCUCAGAUGCCUGCUUCACCACCUUCUUGAUGUCCUCAUACUUGGCAGGUUUCUCCAGGCGACAUGUCAGAUCCACAACGGAUACGUUGGGGGUAGGAACACGGAAGGCCAAGCCAGUCAGCUUCCCGUUCAGCUCUGGGAUGACUUUGCCCACAGCCUUGGCAGCGCCAGUGGAUGCAGGGAUGAUGUUCUGGGCCAUCCACAGUCUUCUGGGUGGCAGUGAUGGCAUGGACCGUGGUCAUGAGUCCUUCCACAAUGCCAAAGUUGUCAUG